RNAcentral lists this ribosomal RNA (1049 nucleotides) under Actinomycetales bacterium. Its description in RNAcentral is "bacterial SSU rRNA". It matches the Rfam family "Bacterial small subunit ribosomal RNA", at positions 383 to 1439 of the family's 1533-position model. The record is from RNAcentral. Lineage: Bacteria; Bacillati; Actinomycetota; Actinomycetes; Actinomycetales.
CUGAUGCAGCAACGCCGCGUGGGGGAUGACGGCCUUCGGGUUGUAAACUCCUUUCAGCAGGGACGAAGCUUUUAUCGGUGACGGUACCUGUAGAAGAAGCACCGGCUGACUACGUGCCAGCAGCCGCGGUAAUACGUAGGGUGCGAGCGUUGUCCGGAAUUAUUGGGCGUAAAGGGCUUGUAGGCGGUUUGUCGCGUCUGACGUGAAAGCUCACGGCUUAACCGUGGGUCUGCGUUGGGUACGGGCAGACUAGAGUGUGGUAGGGGAGACUGGAAUUCCUGGUGUAGCGGUGAAAUGCGCAGAUAUCAGGAGGAACACCGAUGGCGAAGGCAGGUCUCUGGGCCAUUACUGACGCUGAGAAGCGAAAGCAUGGGGAGCGAACAGGAUUAGAUACCCUGGUAGUCCAUGCCGUAAACGUUGGGCGCUAGGUGUGGGCCGCAUUCCACGUGGUCCGUGCCGUAGCUAACGCAUUAAGCGCCCCGCCUGGGGAGUACGGCCGCAAGGCUAAAACUCAAAGGAAUUGACGGGGGCCCGCACAAGCGGCGGAGCAUGCGGAUUAAUUCGAUGCAACGCGAAGAACCUUACCAAGGCUUGACAUGCGCCGGACGCAUCCAGAGAUGGGUGUUCCUUUUGGGCUGGUGUGCAGGUGGUGCAUGGUUGUCGUCAGCUCGUGUCGUGAGAUGUUGGGUUAAGUCCCGCAACGAGCGCAACCCUCGUUCCAUGUUGCCAGCACGUGAUGGUGGGGACUCAUGGGAGACUGCCGGGGUCAACUCGGAGGAAGGUGGGGAUGACGUCAAAUCAUCAUGCCCCUUAUGUCUUGGGCUUCACGCAUGCUACAAUGGCCGGUACAGAGGGCUGCGAUACUGUGAGGUGGAGCGAAUCCCUUAAAACCGGUCUCAGUUCGGAUUGGGGUCUGCAACUCGACCCCAUGAAGUUGGAGUCGCUAGUAAUCGCAGAUCAGCAACGCUGCGGUGAAUACGUUCCCGGGCCUUGUACACACCGCCCGUCAAGUCACGAAAGUCGGUAACACCCGAAGCCCAUGGCCUAAC